This 497-nucleotide ribosomal RNA is filed under the name uncultured bacterium. RNAcentral's name for it is "partial 16S ribosomal RNA". It matches the Rfam family "Bacterial small subunit ribosomal RNA", at positions 28 to 507 of the family's 1533-position model. The record is from RNAcentral.
GAUGAACGCUGGCGGCGUGCCUAAUACAUGCAAGUCGAGCGAACAGACGAGGAGCUUGCUCCUCUGAUGUUAGCGGCGGACGGGUGAGUAACACGUGGAUAACCUACCUAUAAGACUGGGAUAACUUCGGGAAACCGGAGCUAAUACCGGAUAACAUGUUGAACCGCAUGGUUCAACAGUGAAAGACGGUCUUGCUGUCACUUAUAGAUGGAUCCGCGCCGCAUUAGCUAGUUGGUAAGGUAACGGCUUACCAAGGCAACGAUGCGUAGCCGACCUGAGAGAGUGAUCGGCCACACUGGAACUGAGACACGGUCCAGACUCCUACGGGAGGCAGCAGUAGGGAAUCUUCCGCAAUGGGCGAAAGCCUGACGGAGCAACGCCGCGUGAGUGAAGAAGGUCUUCGGAUCGUAAAACUCUGUUAUUAGGGAAGAACAAAUGUGUAAGUAACUAUGCACGUCUUGACGGUACCUAAUCAGAAAGCCACGGCUAACUACGUG